CAAGGCACUUUUGGUUUCCGGUAGACAUGUAAGCCUGUGCGGUAGCUGCUGGUGAUUGAAAAAGUGAGCCAUCUUCACUCAAAUGCAUUGUGAUGGUUUCUUGAUCAACAUGAUAUUUUGUUGACUGAAGUGUCUCUAGCAAUUAGUGACUUCGUCUGAUCACUGAACUGAAGUUCUAAACCUGUUGAUUCCGCAAGCUCAAUAGCUGCGGGGAAAACAAUAGAGAACCAGCGAGGAAGACGAGGACCAUGGCCAUGAAGCAUCUCCACCAUAUUUGCUUGUAUAAAAUUCAACCCUACAUAUACAACUCACUUUAUCAUUAUUUUGUUGGAACAAAAUUAGAUGUAUUUUUAUGUUCGUCUGUGAUCUAGUGAAAUGAUAUGAAUUUCUAAAUAGUUUUGGAAA
This is a long non-coding RNA of Helianthus annuus (common sunflower), 405 nucleotides long. RefSeq lists it as uncharacterized. The transcript has 2 exons. The record is from RefSeq and is a predicted model, not a curated record. NCBI's taxonomy places the organism in Eukaryota, Viridiplantae, Streptophyta, Magnoliopsida, Asterales, Asteraceae.